Varroa destructor (honeybee mite) is the source of this 611-nucleotide long non-coding RNA. The record is from RefSeq and is a predicted model, not a curated record. NCBI's taxonomy places the organism in Eukaryota, Metazoa, Arthropoda, Arachnida, Mesostigmata, Varroidae.
ACUAGCUGGGAUAUAAUAACUUAAGAACGAUAUGUAUUUGUUUGUAACACCUACGCGUGCGCCAGCUCAUGUGUUACACUGGUGAGCGACCUAACUUGAAGGAGACAAACGGAGCUUCUUUCGCAGAUAACAUACGAAACGUUUACAAUGGAGUCAUUUCGUUUACUCGAGCAUACUGACCAAGUUGCUCUGAAGAUAUUUUGCAUGUGCAUCCAGCCAGCGCAGACUUAUGCCGACUAACGCCCGUCCUAAUGAUAUCUGAGUUUACUCUCGUGGUUGUCGAUGCGAAACAUACAUGGGAUCAGGCACAAGCGCAGCCUUACUACAGGCCAAGCAUCGCCAACCUUCUUUGAAGAGGCAGCUUGUCUUCUCGCGUUACUGUUGCCCCUACUAUCUUCAUUAACAGCUUCAUGGAUGGUGGGAUCAGUACUGACGUAGUCGCUUGAUGUCCGCCGUGCGUUACGAGUCUCAGUCAGUGAUUCUAUGUCUACCCAUCAGCAGUUGACCCAAACCGUUACAGGCUCUAUGCUUAAGCCUUGUCUGGACUACGUCUGAACGGCGGCGGCGGCGGCGGCGGCGGCGGCUCUACCAACUAGGGGCUAAAUACAAAA